Molecule: non-coding RNA, 23 nt
Filed under: Cricetulus griseus (Chinese hamster)
Lineage: Eukaryota; Metazoa; Chordata; Mammalia; Rodentia; Cricetidae
Source: RNAcentral
CACAGAGCCGUGACAUGUUUGAG